GUGGGGAAUAUUGCACAAUGGGGGGAACCCUGAUGCAGCAACGCCGCGUGAGUGAUGAAGGUUUUCGGAUCGUAAAGCUCUGUCUUCAGGGACGAUAAUGACGGUACCUGAGGAGGAAGCCACGGCUAACUACGUGCCAGCAGCCGCGGUAAUACGUAGGUGGCGAGCGUUGUCCGGAUUUACUGGGCGUAAAGGGAGCGUAGGCGGAUUUUUAAGUGAGAUGUGAAAUACCCGGGCUCAACUUGGGUGCUGCAUUUCAAACUGGAAGUCUAGAGUGCAGGAGAGGAGAGUGGAAUUCCUAGUGUAGCGGUGAAAUGCGUAGAGAUUAGGAAGAACACCAGUGGCGAAGGCGACUCUCUGGACUGUAACUGACGCUGAGGCUCGAAAGCGUGGGGAGCAAACAGGAUUAGAUACCCUGGUAGUCC
This 425-nucleotide ribosomal RNA is filed under the name uncultured Clostridiaceae bacterium. RNAcentral's name for it is "bacterial SSU rRNA". It matches the Rfam family "Bacterial small subunit ribosomal RNA", at positions 354 to 796 of the family's 1533-position model. Lineage: Bacteria; Bacillati; Bacillota; Clostridia; Eubacteriales; Clostridiaceae. The record is from RNAcentral.